AAAGUCCUAGCUUAAUUAAAGUGUCUGAGUUGCAUUCAGGUGAUGUAGAAUAGAGUUCUACGGACUUUA
Molecule: transfer RNA, 69 nt
Filed under: Upupa epops (Eurasian hoopoe)
Lineage: Eukaryota; Metazoa; Chordata; Aves; Bucerotiformes; Upupidae
Description: tRNA-Ala
Source: RNAcentral